CAUUGGGUUCUGGAAAACGGUCACAACUUUUUGGUGGCUGAAGGUAUCGAAAAGUGUAUAACUAUAACGUUGUUUAUUAUCACUCAACAAACAAUUUGUUAAUUUGCGUGGAUAGCAUGGUAAGACAGUGGAUUUCAAUGGUGUUCAAAGCUGAAAUUUCAAAACGUCAUAACUUUGCUGAAACGUGACGGGGGCAGCUAAUUUUUUCGGAGAGAUCAUAACUAACACUCUUCUAUCGGAAUUUCAAUAUGAAAACCCAAAUUCUACAGGCGCCUUCAAAGACUUCCCUUGUAAAUUAGAGUUGAUUGAGAAUAUAUACGUCUAACUUUCAAAGACUCAUAACUCUGUUGGCGUUUGAAUUAAUAAAAUGUGGUCAACUGAAAUGUUGUUGGCAAUAAUGUGACACACAUUAUGUUAGUAGGUCCCUUUCAGUUAUCUUCAGUGACUGUGAAGAUGUGAGCCCCAAAAGAUGGCCGAAAUAUUCUAGAUUUGGAGAUAUUCUAGCUCAACCAUAUCUCAGUUCUCGAUAAAGAUGAACUGAUACUUUCAACUAUGAAAACGUUUAUUGUUUUAAGCUCGACAAGGUUGUAGUUGCUGACUUUUUGAUACCUCAAUUCUAGAAUUAGAUACAUCCGUUUUAAAACAGGGUGUUUUAUUGUUCAGAGGUCCAAGGAAUGUCGGGUUUGGCUUAUCGAAAGCACCGAAUUUGGCAAGAAAAUGUAUGAAAGUAACCAAGUAAACAUAGUCCUACAUUAUCUAACCAGCCGCCUCCGGCUCGGCCAACGACUGGUGAAAUUUGAAAUGUUUGACACAUAUCCCUGAAUUGGAAUGCUGUAUGAAUUUUUUGGUUCACAACUAAUCAGAUAUUGAAAAAAAAACGUGCGAAUGUCGUUGUUUUCCUAGUUUGUUCUGAAAACAAUAUUAAGUAAAAAAUUUUGGUACAGUAGAACUACCAUGUUCAAAAAACGAAUUCAUUUUAGGAUAUCGCAUGGUAUUUUUUAAAUGAAAACUCUAAGAAACAUCAUAUGUUGAAACUACAUAAAUGUAAAAAUAUACCAAAACAGUAGUAAAUUAGAAAAUGUCAGCAAGUUAGUAAAUCUGAGUUCAAAGUAAAUGAACUAUUUCUUAGUAAAUGACUGAGAGUAAAAAAUGAGUAAAUUAGACCUUGAAGUAAAUGAACUCUUUUUCAGUAAACGAGAGAAAGUGAAAUCGCUAGUAAAUUAGACGUCGAAGUAAAUGUGCCACUUACGUAAACGAGUGAUUUAGUAAAUUAGACUAUUAGUUAAUGAGGGUUUGCCAAAUUUUCCUCCUUUGUUUCGAUGUGCUGGUUCUCUUUCUUGAGGGCUACAACGUACCCCGACAGACCGAUUCUGAUCUAUUGAUCAUCUGUGUGAUGUUCUUUCUUCUUACCCUUAUAUGGAAAAGAUCCAAAUCUUAAAAUCAGCGAUGAUGUUACUUUUAUCAUUCACUUCUCCCGUGAUUUUCAAUAAUUAUUAUUGUUGUUCGUCUAGCCUCCUGUCCUUAUCUUCCGUCUAUUUUCCGUCGCAGAAAUAUCUUUCUGAUCUCGUUUUGUUGUUGCAGUACCUUUUUGGAUGUUUCGCGAACUCAUUACUUUUUGCAAAUGUUCAAAGUAGUCACUGAAUAGCAAAAAAUAUUGAAAACUCUAAUUUGAAACUAUAAAACAAUAAUAUAUACAUUUUGAAGGUGGAGUAGUGCCAGUGGGGAUUUUGUCUAAAUACACUUAUAUCUAAAACGACCGAAAAUCAGGAUAAAACAAUCCAAAAAAUGUUUAGAUUGUCUAAUUUUUCAGUCAAAUUAGUUUUGCAUUCCAGAUUAUCCUAUCCAGUGUUAAGGGUUACGGGUCAAAGAAGUUUCGGAUUUGCUUUCUGAAUAGUAGAAGCAUGUUUUGAUAUUCAAAUUUCUCACUCAAACAUUUUCAGCAAAUACAGUCUAUUAAUACAAAUCUGAAACCGUAAUUGUUUUCUGGCACUAUUAUUGCAGAUCCCCCUCUCCAUAUUUGCCCUUACCGUAAUCUCUUUGUCCCUCUUCCUCUUCACGUGCAAUUCACUAAACGUCCCGAGAACGCUCACCAUUUUUCUUUGCUUCUCAACAGUCUCUCUGAAUUUUGUAACUCUCUUUGUUUCAACUAUUCCAUGUCUCUCUUUUACUACAACCAUCCUGUUUUCUCUAUUGAGAGGUUUUCUGUUUCUAUAAUGUUUGUCAACAUUUGCAAAUAAAUGUUGCUCAUUUCACCCAAAAGCUGCUUGUCUACUGCAAAAUCUCGUAGAGUUUAGUUUUCGACCAAUGAACAUAUUUUCGACAAGUGCCAACUUUAAGGAUACGUAAUUUCAUGUUUUCCUAGAAUUUCUCACAUAUGUAUAAAUCGUGUCGGAU
This is a long non-coding RNA of Caenorhabditis elegans, 2394 nucleotides long. Ensembl annotates it as ncRNA. Its record names the gene linc-157. NCBI's taxonomy places the organism in Eukaryota, Metazoa, Nematoda, Chromadorea, Rhabditida, Rhabditidae. The record is from Ensembl.